CCCGGGCGUUGGUUGACCCGGGCGAAAGGGAGCGAAAUUAGAGUAGCGAAGUCCGCGAUGUUCGGAGGCGAGAAAAGCUCUGAGGUAUGCUAAGGUGCCCGUACCGCAAACCGACACAGGUAGAUGAGGAGAGAAUCCUAAGGCCAACGGGAGAAGGGUUGUUAAGGAACUCGGCAAAUUGACCCCGUAACUUCGGAAGAAGGGGAGCCCCCUACGGGGGGUCGCAGAGAAAUGGCCCAAGCAACUGUUUACCAAAAACACAGGUCUAUGCUAAAUCGAAAGAUGACGUAUAUGGGCUGACGCCUGCCCGGUGCCGGAAGGUUAAGAGGAGAUGUCAGGCAACGAAGCAUUGAAUUUAAGCCCCGGUAAACGGCGGCCGUAACAAUAACGGUCCUAAGGUAGCGAAAUUCCUUGUCAGGUAAGUUCUGACCCGCACGAAUGGCGUAAUGAUUUGGGCACUGUCUCAACAGCCCGCCCGGCGAAAUUGUAGUACUGGUGAAGAUGCCAGUUACCCGCAACUAGACGGAAAGACCCCGUGGAGCUUUACUGCAGCUUAAUACUGAAAUUCGGUAGUACAUGUACAGGAUAGGUGGGAGACUGAGAAAUACAGGCGUCAGCUUGUAUGGAGUCGCUGUUGGGAUACCACUCUUGUACUGCUGGGUUUCUAACCUGCGGCCGUGAAUCCGGUCGGGGGACACUGUUAGGCGGGCAGUUUGACUGGGGCGGUCGCCUCCCAAAAGGUAACGGAGGCGCUCAAAGGUUCGUUCAGCACGGACGGAAAUCGUGCAAUGAGUGUAAACGCAUAAACGAGCCUAACUGCGACACCGACGGGUGGAGCAGUAACGAAAGUUGGAGUUAGUGAUCCGGUGGUAUGUGAGUGGAAAUGCCAUCGCUCAACGGAUAAAAGCUACCCUGGGAUAACAGGCUGAUCUCCCCCAAGCGUCCACAGCGACGGGGAGGUUUGGCACCUCGAUGUCGGCUCGUCGCAUCCUGGGGCUGAAUUCGGUCCCAAGGGUUUGGCUGUUCGCCAAUUAAAGCGGCACGCGAGCUGGGUUCAGAACGUCGUGAGACAGUUCGGUCCCUAUCUGUUGCGGGCGUAAGAGAUUUGAAGGGAGCUGUCCUUAGUACGAGAGGACCGGGAUGGACGUACCUCUGGUGCACCAGUUGUCCUGCCAAGGGCAUAGCUGGGUAGCUAUGUACGGACGAGAUAAACGCUGAAAGCAUCUAAGCGUGAAACUCCCCCUAAGAUGAGAUCUCUCAUCCUUUAAGGAGUAAGGACCCAGAAAGACGAUCUGGUUGAUAGGCCGAAGGUGGAAGCGCAGUAAUGUGUGCAGCUGAUCGGUACUAAUAGUCCGAGGGCUUGACC
RNAcentral lists this ribosomal RNA (1366 nucleotides) under metagenome. RNAcentral's name for it is "bacterial LSU rRNA". It matches the Rfam family "Bacterial large subunit ribosomal RNA", at positions 1490 to 2925 of the family's 2925-position model. The record is from RNAcentral.